Molecule: long non-coding RNA, 229 nt
Filed under: Setaria italica (foxtail millet)
Lineage: Eukaryota; Viridiplantae; Streptophyta; Magnoliopsida; Poales; Poaceae
Description: long non-coding RNA (SITA_LNC004812)
Source: RNAcentral
ACAAAACCAACAACGAAACCAACAAGUUUGAAUUUGUUUAUUCUUUCCUUGCAUCUAAGAGAUUUCCUUCCUUCCUUCCUUCCUUCCUUCCUUCCAAAGAGCGACGGGGAUGGGAAAUUCUACUUAAAUCUCGUAGGGAGCUUCCCUUCCGUGGGUUAGCCUCCUCUUUCCUUUAAAACUGACGUGAGAAGGGCGUGCAAAUAACUCAAGAUUCUUGAGCAAGAAGAAC